GUGCGGCAUGCUCGAUACGAGGGUCAGCUUGAGGCCGGCCGGCAGCUGCGCCUGCAGGUCGUUCGAUUCGGCGUCGAGCGCC
Molecule: transfer RNA, 82 nt
Filed under: Burkholderia paludis
Lineage: Bacteria; Pseudomonadati; Pseudomonadota; Betaproteobacteria; Burkholderiales; Burkholderiaceae
Description: tRNA-Ser
Source: RNAcentral